RNAcentral lists this transfer-messenger RNA (353 nucleotides) under Silicimonas sp. It matches the Rfam family "Alphaproteobacteria transfer-messenger RNA". From Rfam's summary of the family: Bacterial tmRNA, also known as 10Sa RNA or SsrA, is named for its dual tRNA and mRNA-like properties. Lineage: Bacteria; Pseudomonadati; Pseudomonadota; Alphaproteobacteria; Rhodobacterales; Paracoccaceae. The record is from RNAcentral.
ACCCUUUCCUUAAGGCCACGGGACGCCUAUAUUCAAUGCGUCUCCUUCGGGGGACUAUGGACAUAAACGCGCCCGCAAUAAGCGGAUCGGACCCGGGGGCGGUACCCGGCGUCUCCACCAAACAUCCUUCAUUUGGGGAUCAUGGGGACGAAAUAGGAUCGACGGACGUCUAAAGGGGUUUGCUUUGUUUCGGCUGGAAGCCACCGUUAUCGGCGCACAAAAGCUAGUUGCAAAUGACAACAAAGCUCCGGUUGCACUCGCUGCGUAAGCAGUGCGUAACGCCGAAAUCUAAGUCCUUAGGCUUUGCGGUCUAAGGCGGGGUCCGCAGGCACCUGGCAACAGAAGCCUGCACU